Molecule: transfer RNA, 90 nt
Filed under: Mesoplasma syrphidae
Lineage: Bacteria; Bacillati; Mycoplasmatota; Mollicutes; Entomoplasmatales; Entomoplasmataceae
Description: tRNA-Ser
Rfam family: tRNA
About the family: Transfer RNA (tRNA) molecules are approximately 80 nucleotides in length. Their secondary structure includes four short double-helical elements and three loops (D, anti-codon, and T loops). Further hydrogen bonds mediate the characteristic L-shaped molecular structure. tRNAs have two regions of fundamental functional importance: the anti-codon, which is responsible for specific mRNA codon recognition, and the 3' end, to which the tRNAs corresponding amino acid is attached (by aminoacyl-tRNA synthetases). tRNAs cope with the degeneracy of the genetic code in two manners: having more than one tRNA (with a specific anti-codon) for a particular amino acid; and 'wobble' base-pairing, i.e. permitting non-standard base-pairing at the 3rd anti-codon position.
Source: RNAcentral
GGGUCAAUACUCAAGUUGGUGAAGAGGUCACCCUGCUAAGGUGAUAGGUCGGUUUCCGGCGCAAGAGUUCGAGUCUCUUUUGACCCGCCA